Molecule: long non-coding RNA, 869 nt
Filed under: Triticum aestivum (bread wheat)
Lineage: Eukaryota; Viridiplantae; Streptophyta; Magnoliopsida; Poales; Poaceae
Description: long non-coding RNA (TAES_LNC010665)
Source: RNAcentral
CGGCCGCGGCCGGUCCGGUCCGGACCGGACCGAAGUGGCGGGCGGUUCAUAUUUUCAGGACCGGACCGGCUGCAGCAAAGCUCGGUCAAGACCGAGAGGACCGACUGGACCGACUGAAUUUGUAUCCUGGGAGUGCGCUGGGAGGAUUUUUGGCUCUGUUUAGCCACUGUUUAGUCAUCCUUUUAUAUUUUGUAAAGUAAAUGGACCAAGAAUACAGCAUAUAUGAGACUAAUUUUGAACAUUUAGAAUGCUUGUUUCAAAAGAGGAUGGAAUCGACAAUAAAUAAGCAAGUUAUGCUAUAGAUUUACCAUGACAAGCUGAAGAAUGGAUGAAAAAUGAUGUAAGAAAAUUUUGGAAUUCAGUACUAACUGCUAACAAUGGUGUAUUCAACACUCAAUAGAUCAGUACGAACUGCUAACAAUUCAGUACUAAUUGUUGAAAAUUUUGGCACUGAAUACCUCGGUCAGAGAUGGGAUAAUGCAGAGGAGAGGACAGAGGAGAUCGAACAGGUGCAGGGGAGACGGCGUGCAGGUGCAGGCACAUCCUCCCCCUCCUCCAGCUUCGUGGUCAUCUCUUAUCGACAGCAGCGAGCCGGCGAGGAGGUGGUCGACGGCGGACAGGUGGAGACGGCGGCGGUCGACCCUCAACUCGACGGCAGGCAGCUGCACGCGCUGCGCUCCCUCCUCUUCUCCUCUUUCCCUCCAGUACUGCGGCUUCGUGGUCUACGGCGAGGUGGUUGACGACGGCAGCACCAGGAGGUGGUCGACGACGGAAGCCGGCGGAGGCGGCGCUCGACCGCUCGGGGUCGGGGGAGGGGAAUGGACGGGGUUGCGUACUUGAACUCUCUGCUUUGCCUUUAUUGCCGUCUG